GCAGUGAGUUUGUCCUCAUCUCAUGGGAUACAUUGGAACAUGGAUCACAUGCCUGAGAACGAAAGGAAAGGACACACAGCAGCCUGGGAAAGGAAACAGACGUCCAGAGGCUCAGUGGCUGUCAUUGCGAAAGAAUAUUCCCACUCUUAUUAACGUCAAGAGUUUCUGUGACUGCGUGCGUCUUUCUCACAGCACAGGCUCUCUAGACACUUCAACUGAUCUUCCAGCGUAAGCAGGUAAUGCAAUCUGAGGGGCUGCUCCAAAGGCAAGGUUCUCUGCUUUUCUCAGAAUUCUGCAGGGAUGGAGAGAAGCGAGUCCUCUGUGAUUUCUGCCUGUUUCAUCACGUGUUUAGCGUUCGCAGGCUUGGUGGGAAUGGGGAAGGCCUGGUUGGCGCCAGAAAAGUGUAGGAGACUUCCAUGUGACAAAGUCACUUUUGAUGCCACUGUUUAUGAAUCUUGUGUUGAGCCGUUCACUCAGACCAUGGCAAACACUGACUACAAACUCAGAUGUCCCUGGCCAAGCACUAGAAGGUGAGACACUGGGUGAUUAUAUUGGCUUCACAAAGCUAAAAUACUGUAUUAAAUACUUUCUGACUUCUCCUAGAGCUUUCAAAGUGGAUUAUUAUUAAAGGGGUCAUAUGAUGCGAUUUCAAGUUUUCCUUUCUCUUUGGAGUGUUACAAGCUGUUCGUGAAUAGAUAAGAUCCCUAAAGUUGCAAAGACUAAAGUCUCAAACCCAAAGAGAUAUUCUUUAUUAAAGUUAAGACUCGUCCACACCCUCCUAAAAUGGCUCGUUUAAACACGCCCCCACAUGUCUACGUCACAAUGUGGGAAGAUUUGCAUAAUGCUGCCCAAAUAUUCACGCAAAGAAAGAAGGCAAAACUUGUUGCUGCCAGCGCCAUGUCGUGGAGACGCUAUUUUGUUGUGAAAGCAAAAAUACUUUGUUUGGCCUUCCAAAAGAAGACACAAUUAGAAAUCAGUGGUUAAGUUGUAUUUACAACACUGUUUGGAAACCGUUCAACCCAGAUAUUCAGAAGUGUGCAACGCAUUUUAUGGAGGACUGUUUCCUGGUCCUGGGAGAGAAG
Cyprinus carpio carpio is the source of this 1082-nucleotide long non-coding RNA. The record is from Ensembl. Lineage: Eukaryota; Metazoa; Chordata; Actinopteri; Cypriniformes; Cyprinidae.